GGUGGCUCAGUGGUAAAGUGCUUGCCUCAUAUGCAUGAGGCCCUGAGUUCGAUUCCUCAGCACCA
This 65-nucleotide transfer RNA is filed under the name Dipodomys ordii (Ord's kangaroo rat). It matches the Rfam family "tRNA". From Rfam's summary of the family: Transfer RNA (tRNA) molecules are approximately 80 nucleotides in length. Their secondary structure includes four short double-helical elements and three loops (D, anti-codon, and T loops). Further hydrogen bonds mediate the characteristic L-shaped molecular structure. tRNAs have two regions of fundamental functional importance: the anti-codon, which is responsible for specific mRNA codon recognition, and the 3' end, to which the tRNAs corresponding amino acid is attached (by aminoacyl-tRNA synthetases). tRNAs cope with the degeneracy of the genetic code in two manners: having more than one tRNA (with a specific anti-codon) for a particular amino acid; and 'wobble' base-pairing, i.e. permitting non-standard base-pairing at the 3rd anti-codon position. Lineage: Eukaryota; Metazoa; Chordata; Mammalia; Rodentia; Heteromyidae. The record is from Rfam by way of RNAcentral.